AGUGAACGCUGGCGGUAGGCCUAACACAUGCAAGUCGAACGGCAGCACAGUAAGAGCUUGCUCUUACGGGUGGCGAGUGGCGGACGGGUGAGGAAUACAUCGGAAUCUACUUUUUCGUGGGGGAUAACGUAGGGAAACUUACGCUAAUACCGCAUACGACCUACGGGUGAAAGCAGGGGAUCUUCGGACCUUGCGCGAUUGAAUGAGCCGAUGUCGGAUUAGCUAGUUGGCGGGGUAAAGGCCCACCAAGUCGACGAUCCGUAGCUGGUCUGAGAGGAUGAUCAGCCACACUGGAACUGAGACACGGUCCAGACUCCUACGGGAGGCAGCAGUGGGGAAUAUUGGACAAUGGGGGCAAGCCUGAUCCAGCCAUACCGAGUGGGUGAAGAAGGCCUUCGGGUUGUAAAGCCCUUUUGUUGGGAAAGAAAAGCAGCAGGUUAAUACCCCGCUGUUCUGACGGUACCCAAAGAAUAAGCACCGGCUAACUUCGUG
RNAcentral lists this ribosomal RNA (492 nucleotides) under uncultured bacterium. RNAcentral's name for it is "partial 16S ribosomal RNA". It matches the Rfam family "Bacterial small subunit ribosomal RNA", at positions 29 to 507 of the family's 1533-position model. The record is from RNAcentral.